Molecule: long non-coding RNA, 1065 nt
Filed under: Anser brachyrhynchus (Pink-footed goose)
Lineage: Eukaryota; Metazoa; Chordata; Aves; Anseriformes; Anatidae
Description: lncRNA (ENSABRG00000008361.1)
Source: RNAcentral
GUCUUUUCUGUGUUAUCGAAGGGCACCAGUAUGCAAGGGGAAGGGUGUUAGCUGCGAGGCAUUGCACACUUUGCAGCCUCCCGGGCCAAGCCCACGCUUCUUGCUGAAAUCCGCGGCUCGCCGGGAGCCUCCCGCUUCUUGGAAGCAGGGUCAGGAGUCGCUCUGGGGCUUCGGCGGCUCCUCCAGCUGCUCAAGCACAAUUCCAGGCAGCGCUGGCUGACAGGGACUUACUGGCCGCAGCUGCCACGGGACUCAGCCAGCAGAAAUGCAAAAUAUCUACAAAAAACUGCAGAAAACAGGACGGUCCCGGGCCCCUUGUGCUGGCCGCCGCAGUGAGAAUAGGUCUCCUCGCUUUUGGGGCUCCGCUUCUCCGUCCAUUUGAGACCCAAACACAAAAAGCCACUUGAUCAAGGGUAUUUUGCUGAAACUUUCAGGUUUUGCAGGGUAAACGCGCGUGCUGUACGAUGCAAUUAGUGGCGCUCUGUCCUACCCCCUCAGCACAUCACGAAACGUCCAUCGCGUUGCCGCGAUUGAAAUUCUGUGCUGAGACGUUCGCAGACAAAUGGAAAAAGAGCGUGCUCACCCAGAUGGAUAAAAAGGCCUCUGGUAAUGACAGACAAACUGUAUUACAGGACAGGAAUGUCAUGCAUGAUCAGCAAAACUGACAGUUCGGAGCUAGAUUGGCUCUCUGAAGCAUACCUCAGUAAUGACAAAUGGUAAAAGCAGGUGGAAACAGAUCUAUCCAGCUGCUGCAGCCGAGGGGAAGUUGGAAGUAGCCUGAAUCCAGCAGGUUUGUACAUGUUACGUGGAAAGUGGUUGCUUGUUCAGCUCACAGCGUUGAACAGCCCCUAUUUUCUUAAUGCUCUUUUAAUGAAAAAUCAGAUCUACGAGAACUUUCUCAUUCCUUCUGUUUUCAGAUUGCCUUUCAAGUGGUUCUUAGUUAUCUGAGAGGUCACUGUAAUGCCGGGCAAUUCAGAAAUAUAUGAGGCCCACUCAGAAAAUCUGUGUGAGGAAGGUAAAGGCUUUUGUUUUGCUAUGAAUGACUGCUGCAAAGGGAGUUCAUUC